This 456-nucleotide small RNA is filed under the name Pan troglodytes (chimpanzee). Its description in RNAcentral is "retained intron". The record is from RNAcentral. Lineage: Eukaryota; Metazoa; Chordata; Mammalia; Primates; Hominidae.
ACUCCUGGACUCUCUCUGAGGUGCCUCUUCUCCUGGUAGAUGAUCUUCCCUGCGCUGGUGUUCUUGGGCCUGAAGAACAAUGACUGCUGUGGGUGCUGCGGCAACAAGGGCUGCGGGAAGCGAUUUGCGAUGUUCACCUCCACGAUAUUUGCUGUGGUUGGAUUCUUGGGAGCUGGAUACUCGUUUAUCAUCUCAGCCAUUUCAAUCAACAAGGGUCCUAAAUGCCUCAUGGCCAAUAGUACAUGGGGCUACCCCUUCCACGACGGGGAUUAUCUCAAUGAUGAGGCCUUAUGGAACAAGUGCCGAGAGCCUCUCAAUGUGGUUCCCUGGAAUCUGACCCUCUUCUCCAUCCUGCUGGUCGUAGGAGGAAUCCAGAUGGUUCUCUGCGCCAUCCAGGUGGUCAAUGGCCUCCUGGGGACCCUCUGUGGAGACUGCCAGUGUUGUGGCUGCUGUGGG